CAGCCGCGCGGGAACACAGAGGGUGCGAGCGUUAAUCGGAUUUACUGGGCGUAAAGCGUGCGUAGGCGGCUUCUUAAGUCGGAUGUGAAAUCCCUGAGCUUAACUUAGGAAUUGCAUUCGAUACUGGGAAGCUAGAGUAUGGGAGAGGAUGGUAGAAUUCCAGGUGUAGCGGUGAAAUGCGUAGAGAUCUGGAGGAAUACCGAUGGCGAAGGCAGCCAUCUGGCCUAAUACUGACGCUGAGGUACGAAAGCAUGGGGAGCAAACAGGAUUAGAUACCCCGGUAGUCCCUGUCUUUAUACAC
Molecule: ribosomal RNA, 301 nt
Filed under: uncultured bacterium
Lineage: Bacteria
Description: partial 16S ribosomal RNA
Rfam family: Bacterial small subunit ribosomal RNA
Source: RNAcentral